GACGAACGCUGGCGGCGUGCCUAACACAUGCAAGUCGAACGGAGAUAUGAUUUCGGUUGUAUCUUAGUGGCGAACGGUGAGUAACGCGUGAACAACCUGACCCUAAGAGGGGGAUAACACUCGGAAACGGGUGCUAAUACCGCAUAAGACCACGACCUGGCAUCAGGAUGGGGUCAAAGGAGCAAUCCGCUGAGAGAGGGUUCGCGUCCCAUUAGAUAGAUGGCGGGGUAACGGCCCACCAUGUCAACGAUGGGUAGCCGAGCUGAGAGGCUGAUCGGCCACACUGGAACUGAGACACGGUCCAGACUCCUACGGGAGGCAGCAGUGGGGAAUAUUGGGCAAUGGGCGCAAGCCUGACCCAGCAACGCCGCGUGAGGGAAGAAGGCUUUCGGGUUGUAAACCUCUGUCCUUGGUGACGGAAACAAAUGACGGUAGCCAAGGAGGAAGCCCCGGCUAACUACGUGCCAGCAGCCGCGGUAAU
This 481-nucleotide ribosomal RNA is filed under the name uncultured bacterium. RNAcentral's name for it is "bacterial SSU rRNA". It matches the Rfam family "Bacterial small subunit ribosomal RNA", at positions 28 to 524 of the family's 1533-position model. The record is from RNAcentral.